GAUGAAGAAUGCAGUGAAAUGCGAUACGUGAUGUGAAUUGCAGAAUUCAGUGAAUCAUCGAAUCUUUGAACGCACAUUGCGCCCGCCAGCACUCUGGCGGGCAUGCCUGUUCGAGCGUCAUUUCAACCAUCAAGCCCCAGGCUUGCGUUGGAGCCCUGCGGCUGCCGCAGCCUCCUAAAAGCAGUGGCGGGCUCGCUAUCACACCGAGUGCAGUAGAUUACUCUUCGCUCAGGGCGUGCAGCGGGUUCCGGCCGUGAAACCCCCUACUUUUAAAGGUUGACCUCGGAUCAGGUAGGAAUACCCGCUGAACUUAAGCAUAUCAAUAAGCGGAGGA
This 334-nucleotide unclassified non-coding RNA is filed under the name soil metagenome. RNAcentral describes it as "partial contains 5.8S ribosomal RNA, internal transcribed spacer 2, and large subunit ribosomal RNA". The stretch from base 1 to 120 matches the Rfam family "5.8S ribosomal RNA", at positions 35 to 154 of the family's 154-position model. The record is from RNAcentral.